AACGAACGCUGGCGGCAUGCCUAACACAUGCAAGUCGUACGAGACCUUCGGGUCUAGUGGCGCACGGGUGCGUAACGCGUGGGAACCUGCCCUUAGGUUCGGAAUAACUCCCCGAAAGGGGUGCUAAUACCGGAUAAUGUCUUCGGACCAAAGAUUUAUCGCCUUUGGAUGGGCCCGCGUUGGAUUAGCUAGUUGGUAGGGUAAAAGCCUACCAAGGCGACGAUCCAUAGCUGGUCUGAGAGGAUGAUCAGCCACACUGGGACUGAGACACGGCCCAGACUCCUACGGGAGGCAGCAGUGGGGAAUAUUGGACAAUGGGCGAAAGCCUGAUCCAGCAAUGCCGCGUGAGUGAUGAAGGCCUUAGGGUUGUAAAGCUCUUUUACCCGGAAUGAUAAUGACAGUACCGGGAGAAUAAGCUCCGGCUAACUCCGUG
Molecule: ribosomal RNA, 433 nt
Filed under: uncultured bacterium
Lineage: Bacteria
Description: partial 16S ribosomal RNA
Rfam family: Bacterial small subunit ribosomal RNA
Source: RNAcentral